GAUCAGAAAAAUACAAGUUUGUGGGUAAUCCCAAGGAGAGUAUAGGAUACUAUUUCUACCACCCUACUCAAUAAAAGGUGUUUGUUAGUAGGCAUGCUAUUUUCUUGAAAAAAGAAUUUAUCUAAGAAAGGGGCAGUGGGAGGUCUGUUGAACUUGAGGAAGUUCAAAACCUACAACUCAUCCAUGAUUCACAAAAUAAUUCUCAACC
This 208-nucleotide long non-coding RNA is filed under the name Elaeis guineensis (African oil palm). RNAcentral describes it as "long non-coding RNA (EGUI_LNC071875)". Lineage: Eukaryota; Viridiplantae; Streptophyta; Magnoliopsida; Arecales; Arecaceae. The record is from RNAcentral.